GGGGAUUUAGCUCAGUGGUAGAGCGCUUGGCUAUCAAGCGAAAGGCCCUGGGUUCGGUCCCCAGCUCCG
Molecule: non-coding RNA, 69 nt
Organism: Rattus norvegicus (Norway rat)
Lineage: Eukaryota; Metazoa; Chordata; Mammalia; Rodentia; Muridae
Source: Rfam